Molecule: ribosomal RNA, 492 nt
Filed under: uncultured bacterium
Lineage: Bacteria
Description: partial 16S ribosomal RNA
Rfam family: Bacterial small subunit ribosomal RNA
Source: RNAcentral
GAUGAACGCUGGCGGCGUGCCUAACACAUGCCAGUCGAACGGAAAGACACUAAGAGCGGGCCUUUACCGGUGGCGGGGGGCGGAAGAGUGAGGUAUCCAUCGCAUUCCUCUGGGUCAAGGGGAACAACGUGGGGCAAAUGCCGGUAAUGAAUCAUACGUCCUACGGGGGGGUGCAGAAGAUCUUGCGGCUUUGGCUGGUUUCUCGAGACGAUGGCGGAUUAGCUAGUUGGCGGGGUAAAGGCGCACCAAGGCGACGAUCCGUAGCUGGUCUGAGAGGAUGAUCAGCCACACUGGAACUGAGACACGGUCCAGACUCCUACGGGAGGCAGCAGUGGGGAAUAUUGGACAAUGGGCGCAAGCCUGAUCCAGCCAUGCCGCGUGGGUGAAGAAGGCCUUCGGGUUGUAAAGCCCUUUUGUUGGGAAAGAAAAGCAGCAGGUUAAUCCCCCGCUGUUCUGACGGUACCCAAAGAAUAAGCACCGGCUAACUUCGUG